Long non-coding RNA from Lepidothrix coronata (blue-crowned manakin), 128 nucleotides. RefSeq lists it as uncharacterized. The record is from RefSeq and is a predicted model, not a curated record. The transcript is spliced from 4 exons. Lineage: Eukaryota; Metazoa; Chordata; Aves; Passeriformes; Pipridae.
AGAGCUGACAUCUGAGCCGUAAGUCUGAAGGGCCAAGCAAAGCAUCUGAUAGGGAAGUCUCUUGAAUUUUCUAUAGCCACAGAGAACAUCACAUUUUCUCCAAGUUUUUCAGUAUUGCUUGGGCCAAA